AGCCAUAUAUACAUGCUUGCUAGACUUUGAGCCACACAUUUACUAUUUACUGCUUAUGAGCAUUGAGUGUGGUCAAGCUGUGAAGACCCUUAGGAGCUUGUCAUGUGGUUAAAUCAAGAUUCACUUGCACGUUCACUCAAAUAUGCUACUUCUACUCCGGAAGUACCAUCCACAUAUAUCCACCCAUUUCCAUCUCCAGAACCACCCAAAAAUAUUCUACUCCUAAUCCGGGAGAGAAUAGCCAAAAAUAUUUCUGUUUUUCCCUUGUGAAAUUAAUGCUCAAGUUAUCUUGUUACUACCACUUGCUAUAUUAUCUCAAGAGAUGAGUGCUCUAAAAAAAAGAGAUACGAGGAAAUAAAAAGGGGCAAGUGCCCGGAACCUCGAAAGAAAAGAAAAAGUGAGACGAGAGGUAAAAACGGACAAGUGUCUGACAAUAGAUUUAGAGGGUACAAGAUACCCACCUGAGAGGAAAGAAAAAGAAAAGGAAGAGCAUCUCAUUCUCCUUAAAAAGUUUCAAAAAGCAAGGAAGGUAUGUAUCCCCUCAAAAGAGCAAAAGUAGAAUUAGACUUUCACCAUUGUUAUCACCAUCAUCACCAUACACCAUUCAUUCGCCACACAUGCACAUCUUGAUUUGGCUUAUUGAUUUGUUUCUUUGAAUCCAUGGUUUGACUAUACAAUAAAUAUCUUGUAAGUAUGUAUACUUUAUCUUCCACCUAUGAGCUCCAGAUAUUAAAGCC
This 737-nucleotide long non-coding RNA is filed under the name Sorghum bicolor (sorghum). Its description in RNAcentral is "long non-coding RNA (SBIC_LNC008100)". The record is from RNAcentral. Lineage: Eukaryota; Viridiplantae; Streptophyta; Magnoliopsida; Poales; Poaceae.